UUCUGUCGCAGGUUGAGGAUUGGAGCUGCAGCCCCGAGCAGGCCACCGUGUCCAAACCGCAUCAGCGCGUUUGAGAAGGCAGUACGGAGUUUUGCUGAGAAUCCUACGGAGAAUGUUAUCACGCCAGUUAUCGGCACAACAUUCGACUCGGUGGGUGAGGCUUACGACUUCUACAAUUUGUACUCCUAUGAGAAGGGAUUUGGCAUUCGUUAUGGCAAAAGCAGGUUAAAUGUGGAGAGGACAAAAUGCAUGCAGGAGAUAGUUUGUGGUUGCUCAGGAAAAGCAGGUGCCGAGAACACAAGAUCUUGUCGUUGUGAGUGUCCUGCUCUAAUUAGGCUGCUACGAGCAGAGGACAAAGGAUGGUAUAUUGCGGAGCAUAGGGAUACGCACAACCACUCGUUGUCGCCUAAUUGCGGUGAGACAAUCCACUGGCCAUCACACAAACACAUUGAUGUGUACACCAGAGAUCUUGUGAAGCAGUUGAGGCAGAACAAUGUGAAUUUGGCAAAGGUGUACAACAUCGUUGGUUUUUUUUUUGGAUCGAUGGAAAAUGUUCCGUUCACAAAGAGGUCUUUGCGUAAUCUAUGUGGUAAGAUAAACAGGGACCAUGCAGAGGAUGAUGUGAAGAAGACAAUUGAUGUGUUUGCUGAGAUAGGGGAUAAAGAUCCACACUUCACGUACAGGGUUCAGUCUGACAACGAGGGAAGGAUCAAGAAUCUGAUGUGGGCAACCAGGAGCAGUAGGUUGCAGUACUCAUUUUUUGGGGAUGUCAUCACUUUUGACACAACUUACCGAACAAACCUGUACGACAUGCCUUUUGGCUUGUUUGUUGGCGUGAACAACCACUUCCAGAGUGUGCUCCUGGCGGGAGUCCUUGUGCGUGAUAAAACCGAAGAUAGUUUUGUAUGGGUCUUCUCAGAAUUCCUCCGAAUGAUGGAUGGCUCUCCACCUGUGACCAUACUAACAGGUAAUUUCCUCCCAUAUGUUGUGAAAUACUGA
Molecule: ribosomal RNA, 999 nt
Filed under: Triticum aestivum (bread wheat)
Lineage: Eukaryota; Viridiplantae; Streptophyta; Magnoliopsida; Poales; Poaceae
Description: partial small subunit ribosomal RNA
Source: RNAcentral